GAACAUCUGUGGCUCAGUGGUAGAGCAUCUGCUUUGCAUACAGAAGGCUCCAGGUUCACUCUCUGGCAUUUUCA
Molecule: non-coding RNA, 74 nt
Organism: Podarcis lilfordi (Lilford's wall lizard)
Lineage: Eukaryota; Metazoa; Chordata; Lepidosauria; Squamata; Lacertidae
Source: the annotation of a GenBank genome assembly